GGGGGGCAUGCUAUAAUGCAGUCGAGCGGACAGAUGGGAGCUUGCUCCCUGAUGUUAGCGGCGGACGGGUGAGUAACACGUGGGUAACCUGCCUGUAAGACUGGGAUAACUCCGGGAAACCGGGGCUAAUACCGGAUGCUUGAUUGAACCGCAUGGUUCAAUUAUAAAAGGUGGCUUUUAGCUACCACUUACAGAUGGACCCGCGGCGCAUUAGCUAGUUGGUGAGGUAACGGCUCACCAAGGCAACGAUGCGUAGCCGACCUGAGAGGGUGAUCGGCCACACUGGGACUGAGACACGGCCCAGACUCCUACGGGAGGCAGCAGUAGGGAAUCUUCCGCAAUGGACGAAAGUCUGACGGAGCAACGCCGCGUGAGUGAUGAAGGUUUUCGGAUCGUAAAACUCUGUUGUUAGGGAAGAACAAGUACCGUUCGAAUAGGGCGGUACCUUGACGGUACCUAACCAGAAAGCCACGGCUAACUACGUGCCAGCAGCCGCGGUAAUACGUAGGUGGCAAGCGUUGUCCGGAAUUAUUGGGCGUAAAGCGCGCGCAGGCGGUUUCUUAAGUCUGAUGUGAAAGCCCCCGGCUCAACCGGGGAGGGUCAUUGGAAACUGGGGAACUUGAGUGCAGAAGAGGAGAGUGGAAUUCCACGUGUAGCGGUGAAAUGCGUAGAGAUGUGGAGGAACACCAGUGGCGAAGGCGACUCUCUGGUCUGUAACUGACGCUGAGGCGCGAAAGCGUGGGGAGCGAACAGGAUUAGAUACCCUGGUAGUCCACGCCGUAAACGAUGAGUGCUAAGUGUUAGAGGGUUUCCGCCCUUUAGUGCUGCAGCAAACGCAUUAAGCACUCCGCCUGGGGAGUACGGUCGCAAGACUGAAACUCAAAGGAAUUGACGGGGGCCCGCACAAGCGGUGGAGCAUGUGGUUUAAUUCGAAGCAACGCGAAGAACCUUACCAGGUCUUGACAUCCUCUGACAACCCUAGAGAUAGGGCUUCCCCUUCGGGGGCAGAGUGACAGUGGUGCAUGGGUUGUCGUCAGCUCGUG
Molecule: ribosomal RNA, 1043 nt
Filed under: Bacillus sonorensis
Lineage: Bacteria; Bacillati; Bacillota; Bacilli; Caryophanales; Bacillaceae
Description: bacterial SSU rRNA
Rfam family: Bacterial small subunit ribosomal RNA
Source: RNAcentral